This 274-nucleotide ribosomal RNA is filed under the name uncultured bacterium. RNAcentral's name for it is "partial 16S ribosomal RNA". It matches the Rfam family "Bacterial small subunit ribosomal RNA", at positions 523 to 796 of the family's 1533-position model. The record is from RNAcentral.
AUACGGAGGGUGCAAGCGUUGUUCGGAUUUAUUGGGCGUAAAGCGAGUGUAGGCGGUUUGACAAGUCGAAUGUGAAAUCCCGAGGUCCAACCUCGGAACUGCAUCCGAAACUGUCAGGCUAGAGUCCCGGAGAGGAUGGCGGAAUUCCCGGUGUAGGGGUGAAAUCCGUAGAUAUCGGGAGGAACACCAGUGGCGAAGGCGGCCAUCUGGACGGUGACUGACGCUGAGACUCGAAAGUGUGGGUAGCAAACAGGAUUAGAAACCCUAGUAGUCC